AGCAGUGCUCUAUAUAACAAAAACAUUUGAGAUAAAUAUGUGUUGGCUGACACAGUGAAUGUACACAUGCUAUGUCCUCUCUGCAUACAAAUCAGAAAUCAAAAGACUACAGUUGAGACUUCAGAAGAUGAAUGUUAACCCACUCCAGCUUUCCAGUCAGGAUUUGUUAGCCCCAUUCUGCAGACAUGGCAAACAGCACCCUAGAACUGUCUGACAACUCAAUUUCUAAAUAACUCCAGUAGCAGAACCCAAACAACCAUGCAAAUUCCUGAAGGCAAUCUGGAACCAAAUCAACGGUCUCUUCAUGUUACACUCCUAAUAACCACACUGACAGCUUGCUCUCUUAAACUGAUAUCCAAAUCAAACGAAUUCAUGUCAGUUUUCACUACUAUUAAUUACCUAGGAAAAAAACUUUUCUUAGAUGUCCAAAGGUGCUAAAAGCAAAUAUAAUACUUAAUCAAUAAGACAAAAAUAGUGGUCAGACAGGCUGUAUGGAUACGGGAUGCCAAAAUAAUCAGCCUCUUCCUGCAGAGCAACACGGGUUUGCUCAUCCGUGGGAAUGUGAACUUCUCCGUGAAGAUAAUCCAAGAGAGGAAAACGCCCACUAAACAUGGAUGCCAGCAUCGAGUCUUUAAAACGGCACAAGGACUCAC
This is a long non-coding RNA of Hyaena hyaena (striped hyena), 653 nucleotides long. RefSeq lists it as uncharacterized. The transcript has 3 exons. Lineage: Eukaryota; Metazoa; Chordata; Mammalia; Carnivora; Hyaenidae. The record is from RefSeq and is a predicted model, not a curated record.